RNAcentral lists this long non-coding RNA (26909 nucleotides) under Selaginella moellendorffii. RNAcentral describes it as "long non-coding RNA (SMOE_LNC001111)". Lineage: Eukaryota; Viridiplantae; Streptophyta; Lycopodiopsida; Selaginellales; Selaginellaceae. The record is from RNAcentral.
CCAGAUUGAUGUGCGUUCCAAGAGUGCUAAGGAUUACCUCCACACCAACCUGGCACCAUCGUUUGGGACAUUGAAUGCAGAAACAGUGAAGAAGAUGGAUGAGGUUCUCAAAGUUUGCAUCUCGGGAACCACAGACCUUCUAGCCAAAGUGGCACCGAAAGAGCGAACUUGGGAGAAGGUCAACUCCAUGUUCAUGCAAAAUCCCCUGGUUGAGCCAAUGGGCGAUGGGAUUAGCAGAGCUGACAAGUUUCUCAACAAAAGCUCUAGCGAUUUCAAGAUUGACGGGUCACCGGACCCAGCUAUUGUGAAAGCGGUAAUAGAGUCAUGUAUUGUGGAAGAGCUCUAUUAACCUUUGCGGCCUUCUCUCGGCACAGGUUCAGGUCUGGUUUGUGAAUCUCAUCGCAGAUGAGGACGUCCUGAAAUCAACCAAGAUCGACAUUAAAGUUGUUGGGGAAAUUGUUGCUCAGUCAGGGGCGACCAUUACCAGCUUUGAAAAUUUCUUUGCCAAGCAUGAGCACCACGAGAAGACCAUAAUUGACAUCGGGGUCUUAAGGUACCCUGAUAUGCAAAACCCGUACUUCAAGGUUUGUGCCCAGGCUGCCUUUUGUAUUUCAGUCACAGCUCAUGCUUACGAGUACAGGUGUACCGCAUCAAACUCUUUGCUUGGUCUGAUAGCAACCGUAUCGUGUUCCAUCAGGAGGAUUCCAAUGGCAUCAUUGGAGGUGAGGUGUCUAAUGUAAACCACUGAAGACUGCACGCUCCUUUUGUUCUAUUUGCAGAGUUCACCUUCCGUAAGUUUAAGCCGCGCAAGGAGACCAUUGACGAGAUGAACCCAGACGCCAAAAAGAAGGCUGUGGAAGCUGCAGAUAACAUCUUUGGUUUCUAAUAUCUAAAUUGAGCCAAAGAUGCCUCAAGCUAAAACAUCUUUCUAAAUACAUGACCUAUAACAGCUAUCUAUUGUCUUUAUAUUUUUUAAUCUCAAUUUCUGAAAAGAGACAAUCAGGGAAACAAAGACUUGACAAUAAAAGUAAUAAAUAUCUAAAACCCAGAUGCUUUGGAUUCCAAGUACUUUUGUCAAUGACUGGAACAUUGAAAGGUGAUGAUAAGUUUAUCUAUAUACUGUUUAUAGCCUUGUGGUAUUCUUACGUAUUCUUUGUGAUAUAUUAAUAAAACGAAACAGGACAGUAUGCCACAUGUGGAGAUCAUUAUCAUUGUCUUGUUGGUCUUUGUAGAUUCUUCGCACUCAAGGUUACCACAAGUUAGCCAGGGACACGCUCAAUCAGCUCUAAGCCGAGUUGAUGGCUUAGUCGUGGGGCUGUGAGUGCCAUUUGGCUCUCCAUCUUGCCGGAUUUUCCCAUCCUGUCGCUUUGAUGCAAACGACCUAGGAACACUGUCGCAAUAAUAUUGUAGAGGAACAAGGUCUCUAGACAAAGGGCUAUAAUAAAUGGAUUUUGACAAGGAACAGAACUUCGAGAAUAGAACUCGUAAAGAAUGCUACGGUCCGUUUUUAGUGUAAACGGCUUGGCAAACGAAUGCCUAUGCUAUUGGAACAAGGCAAAGGGAGGCCCUCAAAACCGUCAAGCUUUACCUCCUUCUGUAACUCACGAACUUUGUCGAGCACAUUAUAAGUUUUCUUUGGCAAAUGCUUACAUACUGAUCAGUAGGCGUGACAUCUCCUGCUAUAGGGUCUAGUUUUUAGGAUCCUAGAAAUCUACUCCGGGAGACGUUAAUACAGUUGUAAAUUUUUUAAAUUAGUUGUUCCGUGAAAUCUAAUAAGCUAAAUGUCCUAAACAGCAACGUCACUUUGGUCNNNNNNNNNNNNNNNNNNNNNNNNNNNNNNNNNNNNNNNNNNNNNNNNNNNNNNNNNNNNNNNNNNNNNNNNNNNNNNNNNNNNNNNNNNNNNNNNNNNNNNNNNNNNNNNNNNNNNNNNNNNNNNNNNNNNNNNNNNNNNNNNNNNNNNNNNNNNNNNNNNNNNNNNNNNNNNNNNNNNNNNNNNNNNNNNNNNNNNNNNNNNNNNNNNNNNNNNNNNNNNNNNNNNNNNNNNNNNNNNNNNNNNNNNNNNNNNNNNNNNNNNNNNNNNNNNNNNNNNNNNNNNNNNNNNNNNNNNNNNNNNNNNNNNNNNNNNNNNNNNNNNNNNNNNNNNNNNNNNNNNNNNNNNNNNNNNNNNNNNNNNNNAAAAUAGUGUGUUUUGGGCGGAUGCACCACCGUGGGACGCUUCUUGGUCUUAAGAAGCUAAUACAGGUGCUAUUGGGAAACGUUGAUGUUCUACAGCUCUCUACGUUUCACUGGAUGGAGCUGCUGGUGGCGCAUUUCCUACAUCUGAUACCUUUUUCUUUGGUAUGUAUGAACUGUGUAGUGUGCUAAGUUCACUUGCAAUUAUCGGGUGCAGGUCUUAGAUGGAAUGCGUAGCAUAGCUUCCAAGUGCAAAGGAUUGAAAAGUUCUGGGGACGAAGACCUUCAAGAACUUUUAUCUGCAAUUAUCAGCAACGACACCGAGGUAAAUGCUCUUCCCAGUACUAUACAGAUACUCUUUGCGAAGUGUACGAAGGUUUUCAAUGCCUGGUAAGAACUUCUCAUGUCGAAUAUUGAUAUAAAUUUUCUAUCAGGAUGAUGGCGCAUGUUGAUGAUCUCCUGAUAGCAAAAGGGGAGGACGUUCGAUCUCUUCUUGAAGAAGACAGGCAAACUCUAGGCGGCUUGAGCUUGAAAGAACUCCAUCGUUUGGUUUAUUCUCAAGUACUGUCUUCGCACAGCUUAACCUGGCAGGUAUAUCGUUGAUUUCUUUGUUCUUGAUGUUUGUCUAACAAUUAUCUCAGCUAGCACCUGUUUACCUCGCGGCUUGCCCAAAGCAAGGCCUGGGAAUGCUUGAAGCUCUCCUAAUGAAGCAGAGUUGUUCCAAUCAGAAACUGGCAUUGAAGGUUGGUCUUGGUGUGACGUUUUCUUGAAUCUUAAUGUGAAUUUUGUGCAACAGGCACUAGAGAUAUGCCGCCUCUAUGAACCUGAUACCGUGAGCACAGCCAUCGCCAGGGUUUAGUAUCCUCUUCUUGCUCCAAGAAUCGGUAUGGAGCUGUUCUCACAUCUCGUUUACACUCUAAACUUCGGAUCGAUCAGAUGGAGCUGCUGGAAUGGCCGGAGCAAGUGCUGGUUAGCGAGUCCGAAACAAACACUCUACUCUGCUGCCUCCAGGAACUCUUCCUCGCCAGGGACCGCCUAGAGAACGACAUCCUAGGCACCGCAGAGCCUGGCGCUGUGGAUCGCCUGAGAUUGGCGCUGGCAUCCAACUUGGGCCGUGCCAUCUUGCAAAGCUGAUCGUUUCUACGAAGGUAGGAAGGAUUUCUUCUUGAACUGUACAAUUCAGAAGCGUGAGUCUAAUUAAGCAAAUAGUUUGACCGUAAAACUUCGCUAAAAGUCAAUUUUUAGUCAACACAGUCUUCAGUUAUUGGAAGUGUUUCAUUGGCUGCCAUUACACACCCCUUUAAUCAGUUGGGUUUAGGGUAGGAUUGUAAUAUUAUUGUUUAAUUUUCGUGGGCAGAAAUAUUUUGAAAGAAUAUUUAACAUGGUGGAUCUAAAGGAAGAUAAUAAACCCUAAGAAAAAGACUAUGGUGACAGGAAGGUGACUUAAAGAUGAUUGCAAUUAUUUCUUGGCGAGGGGAAAAUUGUUAAGCACCAAGUUAGGAUAAUAGGAUAAAAAAAGGACUUUACAAUCAAAUAAUCACCCCUUUAACCAGUUAGGUUAAGGUGUAAAAAAUAGAAUCAUACUCCCAGGCUCCAUCAUGUGGUUCCUGAGCAGUGACACAAAACAAUCUUACUCUUGUUCUUGAUAGCUUGGCAUAAAUUCUCUCUGUCCAAAAAUCACUAGCUGAUUCUCAGCGUGCAACAAAUGUAGUUGCUCCACCACGAUUGCUGCUGCUUAGUCACCACCACUACCACUGCUACCAGCGCCACUGCUAAACUUUGGCGAGGGGUUUCUAACAUUCUCGAUGGCUUUCAUCAGGACGUUGCUAUUGGUAUGCUUGGGUGGUGGCAUCAAUAAAACAGAUGCAUGCAACACCUCCCUAUCCUGCCUUGGCAAUCUCAGACAAGUGCAAACAAGAUUUUGCUACUCUCCCCUAACAGUGUGAUUUCACCCUGUUGACGUUCACGGCCCAUUUCCUUCACCAUCAAUUCUCCAAAGGGUUUUUAAAGUUGUGAAAGUUGACUUAGUGGACCUGUGGUUUUCCACAAGCACUCUACCCAGAGCAAUGUACGGCAGUUUAUCAUGCCCUAAAAGCAUAUGCGUAAAGAAUAUGAUACCUGAUUUUCUUGAUAUUGGGACUACUGCAUGGCGUUUUCUGUUCGGUGUAAAUGCGUUUAACUCGUUUUCUGCACUAAACUAAUCUUUCAGAACGCUCAAUCCACCUAAUCACCUUUUGUUUUUUAACCUGCAGUUUUGGAGGUAUAUGUAUGACAAAGUCAUGCACGAUGAGUCAAGCUAUACUUCAUUUUGGGAUAAACAUGUUUUGUGCACUAAACUAACCCAUUUACCCCAUUAGUCUUCUUCUGGUGUACAUACCUCUUCUGAAGGUGAAUUGCAAUGGCAACCAUGGCGACAAUGCAGGGAGCCUUGGUGACAUUGAGGCGAAUUUUGAUUUCAGCAAGGUAAAGUGGAACCUGUCUUGCCCAAAGCAGUGCUUAACUCCUUGUGGAAUGCUCCAGAUUGAUGUGCGUUCCAAGAGUUCUGAGGAUUACCUCCACACCAACCUGGCACCAUCGUUUGGGACAUUGAAUGCAGAAACAGUGAAGAAGAUGGAUGAGGUUCUCAAAGUUUGCAUCUCGGGAACCACAGACCUUCUAGCCAAAGUGCCACCGAAAGAGCGAACUUGGGAGAAGGUCAACUCCACGUUCAUGCAAAAUCCCCUGGUUGAGCCAAUGGGCGAUGGAGUUAGCAGAGCUGACCAGUUUCUCAACAAAAGCUCUAGCGACUUCAAGAUUGACAGGUCACCGGACCCAGCUACUGUGAAAGCGGUAAAAGAGUCAUGUAUUAUGGAAGAGCUCUAUUAACCUUUGCGGCCUUCUCUCGUCACAGGUUCAGGUCUGGUUUGUGAAUCUCAUCGCAGAUGAGGACGUCCUGAAAUCAACCAAGAUCGACAUUAAAGUUGUUGGGGAAAUUGUUGCUUAGUCAGGGGUGACCAUUACCAGCUUUGAAAAUUUCUUUGCCAAGCAUGAGCACCACGAGAAGACCAUAAUUGACAUCGGGGUCUUAAGGUACCCUGAUAUGCAAAACCCGUACUUCAAGGUUUGUGCCCAGGCUGCCUUUUGUAUUUCAGUCACAGCUCAUGCUUAUGAGUACAGGUGUACCGCAUCAAACUCUUUGUUUGGUCUGAUAGCAACCGUAUUGUGUUCCAUCAGGAGGAUUCCAAUGGCAUCAUUGGAGGUGAGGUGUCUAAUGUAAACCACUGAAGACUGCACGCUCCUUUUGUUCUAUUUGCAGAGUUCACCUUCCGUAAGUUUAAGCCGCGCAAGGAGCUCAUUGACAAGAUGAACCCAGACGCCAAAAAGAAGGCUGUGGAAGACAUCUUUGGUUUCUAAUAUCUAAAUUGAGCCAAAGAUGCCUCAAGCUAAAACAUCUUUCUAAAUACAUGACCUACUUGAAAAUAACAGCUAUCUAUUGUCUUUAUAUUUUUUAAUCUCAAUUUCUGAAAAGAGACAAUCAGGGAAACAAAGACUUGAUAUACAAACUACAAUAAAAGUAAUAAAUAUCUAAAACCUAGAUGCUUUGGAUUCCAAGUACUUUUGUCAAUGUUGCAAACUUUUGCCUUUGAAACGUGAUGAUAAAUUUAUCUCUGUCUAUAUACUGUUUAUAGUCUUGUGGUGCCCAUCAAGAAGCAUAAAUAUUCUUUGUGAUAUAUUACUAAAACGAAACAGGACAGUUUGCCAUGUGAAGAUCAUUAUCAUUGUCUCGUUGGUCUUUGUAGAUUCUUCGUGCUCAAGGUUACCACAAGUUAGCCAGGGACACCCUCAAUCAGCCCUAAGCCGAGUUGAUGGCUUAGUCGUGAGUGCCAUUUGGCUCUCCAUCUUGCUGGAUUUUCCCAUCCUGUCGCUUUGAUGCAAACGACUCCAGGAACACUGUCGCAAUAAUAUUGUAGAAAUGGAUUUUGACAAGGAACAGAACUUCGAAAAUAGAACUUUAGAGAAUGCUACUUGGAACAAGGCAAAGGGAGGCCCACAAAACCGUCGAGCUUUUCCUCCCCCUCUAACUCACGAACUUUGUCACAAGCACAUUGUAAGUUUUCUUUUGCAAAUGCUUACGUACUGAUCAGUAGGCGUGACAUCUCCUGCUAUAGGGUCGAGUUUUUAGGAUCCUAGAAAUCUACUCCAGGACAAGACGAUCAAGACGUUAAUACAGUUGUAAUUUUUUUAAAUUAAUAAGCUAAAUGCGCGAAUCUUUCCAAAACAGCAACGUCACUUUGGUCUUUUCUUAGUUUCUUGUCCAGCUGAGAACAGAGGUUUGUCUAGCUCAAGCAUGAGUUUCUAAAUGAAUACGUCCUGCGUUCUGACAUGGUUGAAUUAUCCUUGCUCAUAUUUACGACCAGUAAACAUUACAUAAUCAACGGCUACUUUGAUUUUCUUCCUCUCGCAGCAAGGUGGUCCCUUCGUACUCGGUGCUCGCUCCCUCCUCGCCUGCCAAAUACCUCCCUGGUAUGGAAGUCCUGGUGUUGCCGUAGGUUUUAAGCCUGACUUUUCUAAGGUUUGAUGUGGUUGCAGCAAAGUUUUUAGUUUCUCAGAUUUUAUUACAUGCAGGCGAGGGAAAAAUGGCGAAGUCAGGUUUCCAAGCUUGAAAAUAGUGUGUUUUGGGCGGAAUGCAACCACCGUGGGACGCUUCUUGGUCUUAAGAAGCUAAUACAGGUGCUAUUGGGAAACGUUGAUGUUCUACAGCUCUCUACGUUUCACUGGAUGGAGCUGCUGGUGGCGCAUUUCCUACAUCUGAUACCUUUUUCUUUGGUAUGUAUGAACUGUGUAGUGUGCUAAGUUCACUUGCAAUUAUCGGGUGCAGGUCUUAGAUGGAAUGCGUAGCAUAGCUUCCAAGUGCAAAGGAUUGAAAAGUUCUGGGGACGAAGACCUUCAAGAACUUUUAUCUGCAAUUAUCAGCAACGACACCGAGGUAAAUGCUCUUCCCAGUACUAUACAGAUACUCUUUGCGAAGUGUACGAAGGUUUUCAAUGCCUGGUAAGAACUUCUCAUGUCGAAUAUUUAUAUAAAUUUUCUAUCAGGAUGAUGGCGCAUGUUGAUGAUCUCCUGAUAGCAAAAGGGGAGGACGUUCGAUCUCUUCUUGAAGAAGACAGGCAAACUCUAGGCGGCUUGAGCUUGAAAGAACUCCAUCGUUUGGUUUAUUCUCAAGUACUGUCUUCGCACAGCUUAACCUGGCAGGUAUAUCGUUGAUUUCUUUGUUCUUGAUGUUUGUCUAACAAUUAUCUCAGCUAGCACCUGUUUACCUCGCGGCUUGCCCAAAGCAAGGCCUGGGAAUGCUUGAAGCUCUCCUAAUGAAGCAGAGUUGUUCCAAUCAGAAACUGGCAUUGAAGGUUGGUCUUGGUGUGACGUUUUCUUGAAUCUUAAUGUGAAUUUUGUGCAACAGGCACUAGAGAUAUGCCGCCUCUAUGAACCUGAUACCGUGAGCACAGCCAUCGCCAGGGUUUAGUAUCCUCUUCCUUUCCAGGCUUGGGGUUCUCACCUGUGUUUUAUGUCUUCCAGGCUGUUGGUGUUCAUAGUUUAAAGCAUGGAAAGAAGGGCCAAGGGAUAAUGUGGCUUCAAUUGGCCCGAGACGAGCAGAGGCUUUCUACUCUUGCGGAUAGCUUUUGAACACAAUAACGUCUGGUGAAGCUGAUAGUCUGGAUAAUCUCGAGGUAGCAGUCUUACGUUUUAUUUGAUACACGCACACUUUUAACGCUCUUUUCCCGUGCCAGCAUUUUGAGGGUCUCUGUGACAUCCUUGGCUCGGGAGCAACGAAGCAUCAAGGCCUGUCGUUCCUAGCAAGGUACUCACUUCAUACAGUUGCAAAACUAUCCGGAGCUCACUUCCAACUUCACGCAGGUACAAAAGCUUUAAGGCAGCGCUGCAAAACAUCAGAGAUCUGCGUUGUAGGGAGGCUUCCUACACCCGAACGGAUUGGUAACCUGGAGAAGAGAAGUCACCGCUGCUCUGCCAAGUGCAGCGAGGUUUUCGUAAAACCCCGGCUUGCAGCUUCUAAAAUCUGGAACCUUUCCACGUAAAUUCUGGCUGUCCUUGCUCCAAGAAUCGGUAUGGAGCUGUUCUCACGUCUCGUUUACACUCUAAACUUCGGAUCGAUCAGAUGGAGCUGCUGGAAUGGCCGGAGCAAGUGCUGGUUAGCGAGUCCGAAACAAACACUCUACUCUGCUGCCUCCAGGAACUCUUCCUCGCCAGGGACCGCCUAGAGAACGACAUCCUAGGCACCGCAGAGCCUGGCGCUGUGGAUCGCCUGAGAUUGGCACUGGCAUCCAACUUGGGCCGUGCCAUCUUGCAAAGCUGAUCGUUUCUACGAAGGUAGGAAGGAUUUCUUCUUGAACUGUACAAUUCAGAAGCGUGAGUCUAAUUAAGCAAAUAGUUUGACCGUAAAACUUCGCUAAAAGUCAAUUUUUAGUCAACACAGUCUUCAGUUAUUGGAAGUGUUAGCUUUUCAUUGGUUUUCAAUGAAUAUAAUUGUUUAAUUUUCGUGGGCAGAAAUAUUCUGAAAGAAUAUUUAACAUGGUGGAUCUAAAGGAAGAUAAUAAACUCUAAGAAAAAGACUAUGGUGACAGGAAGGUGACUUAAAGAUGAUUGCAAUUAUUUCUUGGCGAGGGGAAAAUUGUUAAGCACCAAGUUAGGAUAAUAGGAUAAAAAAACAUUGUUACACACCAGAUCAAAAUAAUAGGAUAAAAAAGGGACUUUACAAUCAAAUAAUCACCCCUUUAACCAGUUAGGUUAAAGUGUAAAAAAUAGAAUCAUACUCCCAGGCUCCAUCAUGUGGUUCCUGAGCAGUGACACAAAACAAUCCUACUCUUGUUCUUGAUAGCUUGGCAUAAAUUCUCUCUGUCCAAAAAUCACUAGCUAAUUCUUAGCGUGCAACAAAUGUAGUUGCUCCACCACGAUCGCUGCUGCUUAUGCCGGUUGUCACCACCACUACCACUGCUACCAGCGCCACUGCUAAACUUUGGCAAGGGGUUUCUAACAUUCUCAAUGGCUUUCAUCAGGACGUUGCUAUUGGUAUGCUUGGGUGGUGGCAUCAAUAAAACAGAUGCAUGCAACACCUCUUUAUCCUGCCUUGGAAGUCAGGCUCCCAAUCUCAGACAAGUGCAAACAAGCUUUCGCUUUCGCAUGAGGUGUCUAAUGUAAACCACUGAAGACUGCACGCUCCUUUUGUUCUAUUUGCAGAGUUCACCUUCCGUAAGUUUAAGCCGCGCAAGUAGACCAUUGACGAGAUGAACCCAGACGCCAAAAAGAAGGCUGUGGAAGCUGCAGAUAACAUCUUUGGUUUCUAAUAUCUAAAUUGAGCCAAAGAUACCUCAAGCUAAAACAUCUUUCUAAAUACAUGACCUACUUGAAAAUAACAGCUAUCUAUUGUCUUUAUAUUUUUUAAUCUUAAUUUCUGAAAAGAGACAAUCAGGGAAACAAAGACUUGAUAUACAAACUACAAUAAAAGUAAUAAAUAUCUAAAACCUAGAUGCUUUGGAUUCCAAGUACUUUUGCCUUCCAGUGGAACAUUGAAACGUGAUGAUAAAUUUAUCUCUGUCUAUAUACUGUUUAUAGUCUUGUGGUGCCCAUCAAGAAGCAUAAGUAUUCUUUGUGAUAUAUUAAUAAAACGAAACAGGACAGUUUGCCAUGUGAAGAUCAUUAUCAUUGUCUCGUUGGUCUUUGUAGAUUCUUCGUGCUCAAGGUUACCACAAGUUAGCCAGCCUCAAUCAGCCCUAAGCCGAGUUGAUGGCUUAGUCGUGAGUGCCAUUUGGCUCUCCAUCUUGCUGGAUUUUCCCAUCCUGUCGCUUUGAUGCAAACGACCCCAGGAACACUGUCGCAAUAAUAUUGUAGAAAUGGAUUUUGACAAGGAACAGAACUUCGAAAAUAGAACUUUAGAGAAUGCUACUUGGAACAAGGCAAAGGGAGGCCCACCAAACCGUCGAGCUUUUCCUCCCCCUCUAACUCACGAACUUUGUCACCAGCACAUUGUAAGUUUUCUUUUGCAAAUGCUUACGUACUGAUCAGUAGGCGUGACAUCUCCUGUUAUAGGGUCGAGUUUUUAGGAUCCUAGAAAUCUACUCCAGGACAAGACGAUCAAGACGUUAAUACAGUUGUAAUUUUUUUAAAUUAAUAAGCUAAAUGCGCGAAUCUUUCCAAAACAGCAACGUCACUUUGGUCUUUUCUUAGUUUCUUGUCCAGCUGAGAACAGAGGUUUGUCUAGCUCAAGCAUGAGUUUCUAAAUGAAUACGUCCUGCGUUCUGACAUGGUUGAAUUAUCCUUGCUCAUACUUACGACCAGUAAACAUUACAUAAUCAACGGCUACUUUGAUUUUCUUUCUCUCGCAGCAAGGUGGUCCCUUCGUACUCGGUGCUCGCUCCCUCCUCGCCUGCCAAAUACCUCCCUGGUAUGGAAGUCCUGGUGUUGCCGUAGGUUUUAAGCCUGACUUUUCUAAGGUUUGAUGUGGUUGCAGCAAAGUUUUUAGUUUCUCAGAUUUUAUUACAUGCAGGCGAGGGAAAAAUGGCGAAGUCAGGUUUCCAAGCUUGAAAAUAGUGUGUUUUGGGCGGAAUGCAACCACCGUGGGACGCUUCUUGGUCUUAAGAAGCUAAUACAGGUGCUAUUGGGAAACGUUGAUAUUCUACAGCUCUCUACAAUUCACUGGAUGGAGCUGCUGGUGGCGCAUUUCCUACAUCUGAUACCUUUUUCUUUGGUAUGUAUGAACUGUGUAGUGUGCUAAGUUCACUUGCAAUUAUCGGGUGCAGGUCUUAAUGCGUAGCAUAGCUUCCAAGUGCAAAGGAUUGAAAAGUUCUGGGGAUGAAGACCUUCAAGAACUUUUAUCUGCAAUUAUCAGCAACGACACCGAGGUAAAUGCUCUUCCCAGUACUAUACAGAUACUCUUUGCAAAGUGUACGAAGGUUUUCAAUGCCUGGUAAGAACUUCUCAUGUCGAAUAUUUAUAUAAAUUUUCUAUCAGGAUGAUGGCGCAUGUUAAUGAUCUCCUGAUAGCAAAAGGGGAGGACGUUCGAUCUCUUCUUGAAGAAGACCUUGACAGAACUCCAUCGUUUGGUUUAUUCUCAAGUACUGUCUUCGCACAGCUUAACCUGGCAUUGAUUUCCUUCUUCUUGAUGUCUAAACCGGCUAGAGAACGACAUCCUAAGCACCGCAGAGCCUGGCGCUGUGGAUUGCCUGAGAUUGGCACUGGCAUCCAACUUGGGCCGUGCCAUCUUGCAAAGCUGAUCGUUUCUUCGUUGUCAAACAAAGGUAGGAUUUCUUCUUGAACUGUACAAUUCAGAAGCGUGAGUCUAAUUGAGCAAAUAGUUUGACCGUAGAACUUCGCUAAAAGUCAAUAUUUAGUCAACAUAGUCUUCUGUCACUGAGAAUGUUAGCUUUUCAUUCAUUUUCAUACUUGAACUCAGCAAUUAAUCUAUACACAUGUACGGCUACGUUGAUUUGUUAGUCACCCUCAGAACCAAGCACUACUACACCAGCGUCCUAGUCUUGGGCACCCGAAGCAUCUCACGCCUGCCUUGGAUGGAUACAAGCCGGGCUCCCAAUCUCGGACAAGCCCAAUCAAGCUUUUGCUACUCUUGCAAAAGGCCCCAGACCAGCGCAUGAAACGAGUGUGUGAUUUCACCCUGUUGACGUUCACGGCCCUUUUCAUUUCACCACUCUCCGAGACGAUGCUGUGAAACUUGACUUAGUGGACCUGUGGUUUUCCACAAGCGCUGGUUCCUUUGCGAUGCGAUGCGGUUCCAGCGACCGGCUGGGGCAAAGCCGUCUACGCAUUUGGCGAGGAGAGGAAGAAUCCCAACAAGUUAAGUGGCGUUGGGUCAAGCUAGACUACUGCACCGAAGGAGGCUUGGCGUUUUGGACCGAACGUGUUUGGUGUAGAUGCGUUUCCUGCACCGAACUAGUUUUCUGCGCUAAACUAAUCUUUCAGAACGCUCAUCCAAAUCACCUUUUGUUUUUUAACCGGGUAUACCUGCAAUUUUUGGAGGUAUAUGUAUGACAAAGUCAUGCAGCACGUGCUGCGAUGAUACUUCAUUUUGGGAUAAACAUGUUUUGUGCACUAAACUAACUCAUUUACCCCAUUAUAAAAAGUGAGUGUACAUACCUCUUCUGGUGCACAUACUUCUUCUGAAGGUGAAUUGCAAUGGCAACCAUGGCAACAAUGCAGGGAGCCUUCGGUUCAUUGAAGGAGAUUGGUGACAUUGUGGCGAAUUUUGAUUUCAGCAAGGUAAAGUUGAACCUGUCUUGCCCAAAGCAGUGCUUAACUCCUUGUGGAAUGCUCCAGAUUGAUGUGCGUUCCAAGACUGCUGAGGAUUACCUCCACACCAACCUGGCACCAUCGUUUGGGGGAUUGAAUGCAGAAACAGUGAAGAAGAUGGAUGAGGUUCUCAAAGUUUGCAUCUCGGGAACCACAGACCUUAUAGCCAAAGUGGCACCGAAAGAGCGAACUUGGGAGAAGGUCAACUCCAUGUUCAUGCAAAAUCCCCUGGUUGAGCCAAUGGGCGAUGGGAUUAGCAGAGCUGACAAGUUUCUCAACAAAAGCUCUAGCAAUUUCAGGAUUGACGGGUCACCGGACCCAGCUAUUGUGAAAGCGGUAAUAGAAUCAUGUAUUAUGGAAGAGCUCUAUUAACCUUUGCGGCCUUUUCUCGUCACAGGUUCAGGUCUGGUUUGUGAAUCUCGUCGCAGAUGAGGACGUCCUGAAAUCAACCAAGAUCGACAUUAAAGUUCUUGGGGAAAUUGUUGCUCAGUCAGGGGCGACCAUUACCAGCUUUGAAAAUUUCUUUGCCAAGCAUGAGCACCACGAGAAGACCAUAAUUGACAUCGGGGUCUUAAGGUACCCUGAUAUGCAAAACCCGUACUUCAAGGUUUGUGCCCAGGCUGCCCUUUGUAUUUCAGUCACCGCUCACGUUUUUGAGUACAGGUGUACCGCAUCAAACUCUUUGCUUGGUCUGAUAGCAACCGUAUUGUGUUCCAUCAGGAGGAUUCCAAUGGCAUCAUUGGAGGUGAGGUGUCUAAUGUAAACCACUGAAAGACUGCACGCUCCUUUUGUUCUAUUUGCAGAGUUCACCUUCCGUAAGUUUAAGCCGCGCAAGGAGGUCAUUGACAAGAUGAACCCAGACGCCAAAAGGAAGGCCGUGGAAGCUGCAGAUAACAUCUUUGGUUUCUAAUCCAAGAUGCCUCAAGCUAAAACAUCUUUCUAAAUACAUGACCUACUUGAACUAUCUAUUGUGUUUAUAAAAUAAUCACAAUCAGGGCAUAGACAAUAAAAGUAAUAAAUAUCUAAAACCUAGAUGCUUUGGAUUCCAAGAUGAUAAGUUUAUCUAUAUACUGUUUAUAGUCUUGUGGUAGUCUUAUGAUAUAUUAAUAAAACGAAACAGGACAGUAUGCCAUGUGUAUCAUUGUCUUGUUGGUCUUUGUAAAUUCUUCGCACUCAAGGUUACCACAAGUUAGCCAGGGACACCCUCAAUCAGCUCUAAGCCGAGUUGAUGGCUUGGUCGUGCGGCUGUGAGUGCCAUUUGGCUCUCCAUCUUGCCGUCGCUUUGAUGCAAACGACCACAGGAACACUGUCGCAAUAAUAUUGUAGAGCAACAAGGUCUCUCAGACAAGGGAAUAUCUAAAUGGAUUUUGACAAGGAACAGAACUUCGAGAAUAGGACUGUAGAGAAUGCUACUGGGCGUUUUUAUUGUAAACGGCUUGGCACAGCGCAGCCAGUGCUGAUGGAACAAGGCAAAGGGAGGCCCUCAAAACCGUCAAGCUUUACCUCCUUCUGUAACUCACGAACUUUGUCGCGAGCACAAUAUAAGUUUUCUUUGGCAAAUGCUUACAUACUGAUCAGUAGGCGUGACAUCUCCUGCUAUAGGGUCUAGUUUUUAGGAUCCUAGAAAUCUACUCCGGGAGACGUCAAUACACCAACUUACAAAGAAAAUUAAUAUUGCAGGUGCUUUUAUGCUGCCAAAAUUUGAGUUGUAAAUUUUUUAAAUUAGUUGUUCCGUGAAAUCUAAUAAGCUAAAUGUGCGAAUCUUUCCAAAACAGCAACUUCACUUUUUUCUUUUCUUUGUUUCUUGUCCAGCUGAGAACAUAUGAAUAGUCCUGCGUUCUGACAUGGUUGAAUUAUCCUUGCUCAUAUUUACAUUAAGCAAAUAGUUUGACCAUGACCUUCUUAAAAGUCAAUAUUAGUCACAUGGAUUACAUAAUCAAUACACUUGUAUACUUUGCUCUCGCUGCAAGGUGGUCCCUUCGUACUCGGUGCUCGCUCCCUCCUCACCUGCCAAAUACCUCCCAACCUCAAGGCUGCUGCCAAACUCGUUGCGGGAGAACGCAAUAACAGCUCUCCAUGCUAGGCAAGAGCGUUCACUUCCACUGGCCACGCCUUCUGAAGAUCAGCCAAGCCUCCCCACGACUCAUAUUGCAGUGGAGUAGAAGAUGGAGGAUGUUUCUGUCCUGCGUCGAUACAAGUCGGGUUCUCCACGCAUUAAGCUGGACCAUCUUCCCUGGGUUCUGGGUGUACAUCCUUCCGCCCUACGUCGAGGAAAGGAAAGACAAGCUUGAUCUUGUCUCCAGCCUUGUAAAUCUUGGUGGAGGGAACAUCUUCCGUACAAGCUCGCCCGCCUUGUUGCCCUGCUGACGGGGACGGCCAGCCAGCAGGCCCUCGUGAUUUCUUCUUGAUCAGAAUGAGCAUUGAUAUCUCUUCCAGGCACCGAGGAGAUCCUGAAAGCCUGCUCGCUGUAUAUCGUCUGGGCCCGACGACGACGUGAAAGCUUUUCUAUCCGACUUCGACGUCUCGACGUCGUGUCCCCCCUCCUUCCUCCAUGGAUGAGUUCUUCGAUGUCACGAAUGAGGCUGGGCGGUUUUCCACUUGCUUGGUUCCUUGGUGGCCGGGGAGGAGUACUUCGACGCGACGGCAAUGCAGUUCCAGCGAAUCUGGGACCUGCUGAGAGAUUGUGUGUCCCAAACGCUUAUCGACGAAGGAGUCAUCACGGAACUUCCAUGAUGGAAGUUCUUCAGCAAGUCGAAUCGGCCGCGCAAUAUCAUCAUGGGCCGGGGAAAAAGCGCAUUUGGCGAGGAGAGGAAGAAUCCCCACAAGUUUGAGAAGGUGAAGGCCGAGCUCGCUGCGAAGAUUAUGGAACUCCCUCCGGCAAUGUAUCGGAAGCUCAAGAUUAUGAUAUGCUACGCAGCUGCAGGCCAGUUCGUCCAGUUUUUCAUGCUGCAAGCAAGAAGCGUUGAUUCACUGAGAAAUCUCUGUUUUCUAACGUUCUUUUGGCGCAGGGAGUCCUCACGCCAGUGACUGACGUGCUGGAUGUGACUAAGCACAUACCGUUCAAGCUCUACUUCUUGUUGCUAUGGCCGCUGAAACCCCGUGAGUGAUGAACAAGCUCGCACCGAUUCCGUACUGACUAGAUCGUUGCAGGCCUCCGCUUGAUACGUUUGUUCUCCAUGGUCACUGGGAAAUCAAGCUCACGCUCGAGGGCGCUGUGAAGAGAAUCGUAGACUUCGAAGCGUAUUCUUGCAAACACGAGGUCUGUCUUGCCGGCCUCGAGGCCGCUUACAUCGCUGCCAUAGAAGGUGGCGGACAUAUGAUCAGUAGCGUGUUCGGGCCUACACUUGAGUCCAAGGAGGUACAACUCAUGCGCGAGGUGACUCUCACUGCCAUCCCGAAGCACAUGUAGGUUCUGAUAUCUCGGAAUCAUCAGAACGAUCUUCUUCAUCAGACAGUAGCAGCGGCAGUGGCGGCAGGAGGAGAAAGAGAGCGAGAUUUGCGACGGUCACCAAGAGCACGGAAGCGAUCAAGGAGAUGAAGGCGGUCUAUGAGGUGGAAACUCUACCACUCUGUGUGAUGAAAUAUCCCGACAAUGAGGAGGACAUGCGCGACAUGGCAUAUGGAGUUUUGCGAGGAUUGAAAGCUUUGCACAAAGCUGGUAAGCUUUCUUAAUUUUCUUUUCUUCUGUCUUUCGGUCUUAGUGUCUGUCUCAUCCUGGUUUGUAAACUUCCAGGCUUGGUGCACAAGAUCAUGUAUGACAAGAAGUACUUGCUGAUCGAUCUCAGCAAGAAUGAAGAAGUGCCAGCGUUUCAAUUUAAAGGCUGGAUCGCGACAAGGCUGGAGGCCGACUGGCGCUACGUGAUUUAAUCCGACUUCCAUCAACUCGGACUCGUGCUCCAGUCUACAGAAAUCGAACCAAAGACUUUGGUUCAUCGAUUUGCUCUUGAGCAGACCUCAGGUCAACCACUGCUAAAAGGCUUUUAGUGAACACACAUAGAAUAAGAAUAUGCCAUAGAAGAAGAAUUAGGGCGGACGUGGAUUAUGCUUCGCUUGGAUUUUUCUAUCCUUAGAAUAUGCUUUAAACUCAAACGAAUUUUAGGGCACGACAGAUGCCCCUAGUCUUCUUCUUCCUCGGAAAUGCGCGGGGACGAGGAGGAUGAGCGAUCCCGGGGCGUCGGGCUACGUCGUGCUGCUGCGGCGAUGCAUCGCGGGCAGGGAUCUGGAGGGCGGCCGGCGAUUGCACGGGCUGGCACACCGAUCUCUUCGUCGCCAAUCUCCUCAUCCAGAUGUAUGGCGCCUGCCGCUCCAUCGCCAGCGCAUGGUCGUCUUCCGCGAGCUCCGCGUCCGCAACCUCUUCACCAUCAACAUCACCAUCGCCGCGCUUGCCCAGAACAGCUGCUUCCGCGACGCGCGAUCCCUGUUCGUGGAAUCCCCCCGCCGCGACGUCGUUACCUGGAACUCGAUGCUCACCAUCGCCGCGCACCGCCUCCGGAUCGGCGAGGCGCGGGAGGUCUUCGCGCGGAUGCCUGCCCGGAGCGUCGUCUCUGCGAACGCGAUGAUCGCAGCAUUUGCCCAAUGCGGGCAAAUUCGCGAAGCCCAGGAGUUCUUCCGCGACGCCAUAGCCGAGAGGGACGUCUCGAGCUGGAACAAUCUCCUCCACGCCAGCGUCUCCUCCAGCGAGGUCGAUCUCGCGCGAUCGGUCUUCGAUGCUAUGCCGCACUGGGAUUGUGUCGCGUGGUUGAGCAUGAUCCAGGGCUACGCCGAACGCUGAUGUGCAACGCCGAGGAGCUCUUCCUCGCGCUGGAUCAUCCGGAUCUCAUGUCCAUCACGUCCAUGAUCGCGGGCUAUGAAGAUCGACCAGGCGAGGGAGCUCUUCUCGCGGAUGAAGCACUGCAACACCGUUGCCUGGAACGUGAUGAUCCCGGCGCUGAGGAGGCGCGGCAGGCAUUCGAUUCGAUGACGGCGCCGAGGAAUCUCUCGUCCUGGAACACGGUCAUCUCGGCCUACGCACAGGCGGGACUGGUGGAUCGCGCGAGGGAGCUCUUCGAUCAAACCCUGGACAAGAACGCGGUGACCUGGACGGCGGUGAUGCACGCGGCAGCUCCGCGAGGCGCGAUCGAUCCUCGACGCCAUGCCGGAGCCAAACAUCGUGUCGUGGACGACGAUGAUCACGGCCUUACGCGCAGCACGGCGCCGGCGCCGACGCGAUCCAGCUCUUCCGGAUCAUGGAUCUUGAGACGAUCGUGAGCGUGCUUUUCGCGGCCACGGCGAUCCAAGAUCCAUCGCUAGCGCACCACAUCCUGCCCGAUAUCCGCCACAGCGCCUCUACCGCGAGGGCGCGGUGGGGAAUUCUCUCGUCCAUCUCUUCAGCCGAUCGGGACGGCUGGACGACGCGCGCGAGAUCUUCCAGGGGAUGAUCGACAGAGCACGGUUUCUUGGAAUAUCGCCAUCACGGCCACGGCCAAGGCCGCUCCAGCUGCUGGAAUCCAUGGUGCUCGACGGUUGCGCGCCCGACGCGAUCACAUUCUCGUGUCACAUUGGAUCGCUGGAUCACCUUGUUGAACAUAGAGGAUUGAAAAUAAACGUUUAAAAGAAACGUGCCUUGGUACCUAUAGUUUCAUGAUAAAAACCAUCACAUUCUAGAAAAUGCAUUUUACGAAAACAUGCUUACUUCAUGGGAUGAAUGGAAAGCAACAGAAGCCUCAUUCCCAGAUGCAUUUCUCCAGAUAUAACAGACAUGACGAGGUAGUAGCAAAAGAUUGCAAAUGUGGUGGUUCCUAGCAAGCCUGAAAGGAAGGAAACUAUUCAGGUCUAGAGAUCGCAUCGACAGAAAGUACCCCAGGCACUGUCAAGCUGAAUAAAGACUUGGUUCAGAAACGGAAAAGCUGGAGGAUUGACAAGCAUGAAAACAAUGAUGUGGAGAAGCCAAAUUAUAGACAAAGCCAAACUGCAACAAGAGAAAUAAUAAGACUGAAUCUUUUUCUUAAGACUUAAAAGACUUUCUUACCUGACAAUGCCAAAAACAAGCUUGGCUAGCUAGAAGAGAACCGUAAGAGCCCAGGAUGUGUCUGCCUGAGAGUAAACCAACAUUAGAAUCAACACAAAAACUUAAAUGGUAAACUAGAACGGUAGCUUCUCUCCCUGUGGGAAUGCCUCGUUCAGAGCUUGAACAUCAUCUUCCAAAAAGACAAGCUCCUGAAUCGAGCUACACAUAUGCGUUUGUCAACACGAUCACGUCCACCAUUUACUUUUGUUUCUGUGCGCAGGGGUGCUGACCUGCUGGACUUUCUUCACAUUUUUUCGAAACUUCCGUCCUUUCUUCCCACCUCUCUCUUCGCGUUGGAGGCCCAAAGUCGCCGUUUUUAGCUCGUUAGAGCGCUUGGCUAGAUCAGUCGCCUCCUGUAAAGCCAUCACCUUGAAGAUAUUAGUUGCAAGAAACGAGAACAAAUCACACACACACACACCUUUACGUAUUGAGCACGAGUAGUAACACACUUGGGCCUAUUCUUGAACGCAAAUAUGAGGCUCAGUGGUAAUGUUGCCAUUCCAACACCUCCGAACAUCUGCAGGAAGGAAAUCAGAUCUUCUAGAAAACAACACAUAAAACGACAUUACCGUGAAGAGUAUUGAUCUUAUUAUUGUGCUUAAUGCGAUCAUGUAAGUCGGGAAGGGCGCACGCCCAGACCACGUAGUUUUAACCAGAGAUCCAGACGUAUAAGCUGCACACUGUCACACAAUAUUGUCAGAUCAAUGAAGAAAGGGAAAAUGUAAAAGAAAAAGUUUACCAAAUCAUUGGUGAAUGCCAGCGUCGUGGAUGAAAGAUGUCUCACGGUGAAAUCAGCAUAGCCGAUCACAGCUUCAAGCAAUCACGUAAAAAAAGGGUUUAAGAACAAAAGAUGGAAAAGAGCUUCUCACCAUAGAGAAAUCCCAAGAGGAGGCAGAGGACUGUGAGGAGUAUCACCACCCGUUCUUUACCCUUUGUGUCACAGUCCUGGAAAUCACCACGAACAAAGAAAGCUUUUGAGAUCAUGGAGGAAUAGAAAGAACUUAAGAAACUCUAGGAGGAGCUCGGUCGAUUGAGUGUUCUAAGAACAAGAAGAAAAAGAUGGAAGAUUACUUCUCCUGGUCGCUCUCGUAGAAGAAGAUCGCGAAAGGAGUGACGAGAUAGACGAGCACAGUGUCGAUGAUGUAAACCGCCCACCAUAGCUGCUUCAUCGGGAGAGUGAGCUUACACGCCCCGACGUAGAGAUUCUUCUCGCAGGAAUGGCGAUUCGCGACGUCCGCCGGGAGCAUCAGGAUCGAGAGUUGGGCAAUGCUGAGCCCAAUCACGACGAUGAUCUUGGGAAGGUAGGCCUGAUUCUGGAGCGCGUGAUGCCGGGGAUCCGGCGCCUCGAGGAGCUGGAGAACGGGGAGCGUAAUGCCGGUGGCGAUGGAUCCUCCAGCUCCUCGGCCGCGGUAAUCUAUAGCGUGCCGGGCGGAUUGAGGGAUCCAGGGCGAUUGUGGGUGUCGUGGAGCAAUGGGAACCAGCUCCAGCUCUCCUACAUCGAGAAUGCUGUGGGAGGCGGCGGAAGAGUCACGGAGAUUCAUCUGGGAGAAGGAUGGGAUGCCGAGAGGCGGCAUGAUUCUCUCCCGGCUUUUGCUCUUCUCCAGAACCAGCGGCAAUUGGGCUACAACCCAGGCGACUGGUAUGAAAAAUUCUUCUCUUUUUACUCUAGAAACGCUAGGUGUGAUCGCAGGUGGGAGCAUGUAUUAGAGUAUAGCAAGAGCAUUCACAGCGUUCUCGACCAGCCCACGCAAGGCAAGGUUAGCCAUUGUAUCAUGCGUGAGCGAAUGAUGUGAAAGAUUUUUUUUGUUUUUUUCUUGCAGGGGGAGAAGACCUCGAUGUUUAAGGCUGUGUGGGAGCUCAUAGAAGUUUUCUAUGUGGACAGAAGCGCGACAUGGUGGCUUCCGGAGUGUCUUGUAGACUGGCUAGCGGUAAGAAGCAGUGAGUUUUUUCUUGACUUAUGAUUGAUUUGCCUGUGAGCUUUGCAGGAGUACGACGAAGUCCUCUUCAGUGAUGAAGACACUGUACAUUCCAAGGUGGUGUCGUUCCAGCGGAAGCUUUCCGAGAUUCAAGUAAGUUCGAAGUCUUGCAGCUUUUUGUUUUCUCUUUGUGUAUCAUUUUUUAACUUGCACUUGCAGUUUCCCGAAGAUGAUGUAGCUUUCUGGGAUGCAAUGGCUUCGGCGUUGUCAGUCGGAUGGCUUGACGUUGUUGGAAGUUGUAAAACUGUCCGUGUAAGUUUCAUUGGUAAUCUUAAUCUUCCAGAUAGCUUUCUUGCGGAUGCAUGGAUCGUAUCGAUUGGAUCAGCUUGAUCACCGGCAGGUUUCUUUCUUCAUGCUGUUCUGUUGACUUGCGUUAACUUCCGGAUGCUUUUUUAUGUCUUGGCAGACUGAAAAUGGCCUCUUAGAAGCAGUUACACUGCUCAUUAUGCAAAUGCCGCGGCUGCGCCCGAGGCUCCCUGAUGGAAGUCCUGGUGUUGCUAUAGGUUUUAAGCCUGACUUUUCUAAGGUUUGAUGUGGUUGCAGCAAGUUUCUCAGAUUUGAUUACAUGCAGGCGAGGGAAAAAUUGGCGAAGUCAGGUUUCCAAGCUUGAAAAUAGUGUGUUUUGGGCGGAAUGCAACCACCGUGGGACGCUUCUUGGUCUUAAGAAGCUAAUACAGGUGCUAUUGGGAAACGUUGAUGUUCUACAGCUCUCUACGUUUCACUGGAUGGAGCUGCUGGUGGCGCAUUUCCUACAUCUGAUACCUUUUUCUUUGGUAUGUAUGAACUGUGUAGUGUGCUAAGUUCACUUGCAAUUAUCGGGUGCAGGUCUUAGAUGGAAUGCGUAGCAUAGCUUCCAAGUGCAAAGGAUUGAAAAGUUCUGGGGACGAAGACCUUGAAGAACUUUUAUCUGCAAUUAUCAGCAACGACACCGAGGUAAAUGCUCUUCCCCGUCACAGUGGUAAGAACUUCUCAUGUCGAAUAUUUAUAUAAAUUUUCUAUCAGGAUGAUGGCGCAUGUUGAUGAUCUCUUGAUAGCAAAAGGGGAGGACGUUCGAUCUCUUCUUGAAGAAGACCUUGACAGAACUCCAUCGUUUGGUUUAUUCUCAAGUACUGUCUUCGCACAGCUUAACCUGGCAGGUAUGUCUUUGAUUUCUUUCUUCUUGAUGGGCAUCCAGCCAUCUUGCAAAGCUGAUCGUUUCUUCGUUGUCAAACAAAGGUAGGAUUUCUUCUUGAACUGUACAAUUCAGAAGCGUGAGUCUAAUAGUUUGACCGUAGAAUUUCGCUAAAAGUCAAUAUUUAGUCAACAUAGUCUUCUGUCAUUGAAAAUGUUAGCUUUUCAUUGAUUUUCAUACUUGAACUCAGCAAUUAAUCUAUACACAUGUACGGCUACGUUGAUUUGUUAGGCACCCUCAGAACCAAGCACUGCUACACCAGCGUCGUCCCUUCGUACUCUGCAGAUGCCCGCAACGCCUCCCUAGUCUCAGGCACCCGAAGCAUCUCACGCCUGCCUUGGAUGGAUAUAAGUCGGGCUCCCAAUCUCAGACAAGCCCAAUCAAGCUUUUGCUACUCUUGCAAAAGGCCCCAGACCAGCGCAUGAAACGAGUGUGUGAUUUCAUCACGGCCCAUUUCAUUUCACCACUCUCCGAGACGAUGCUGUGAAACUUGACUUAGUGGACCUGUGAUUUUCCACAAGCGCUGGUUCCUUUGCGACGCGAUGUGGUUCCAGCGACCGGCUGGGGCAAAGCCGUCUACGCAUUUGGCGAGGAGAGGAAGAAUCCCAACAAGUUAAAUGCUGUAGGUUAUCAUGCCCUAAAAGCAUAUGCAUAAAGAAUAUGAAACGAUACCUGAUUUCUGGCGUUGGGUUAAGCUCCGAAGGAGGCUUGGCGUUUUGCACCAAACGCGUUUGGUGUAGAUGCGUUUCCUGCACCGAACUAGUUUUCUGCACUAAACUAAUCUUUCAGAACGCUCAUCCAAAUCACCUUUUGUUUUUUAACCGGGUAUACCUGCAUUUUUUUGGAGGUAUAUGUAUGACAAAGUCAUGCAGCACUGAGUCACUUCAUUUUGGGAUAAACAUGUUUUGUACACUAAACUAACUCAUUUACCCCAUUAUAAAAAGUGAGUGUACAUACCUCUUCUGGUGUACAUACUUCUUCUGAAGGUGAAUUGCAAUGGCAACCAUGGCGACAAUGCUGGGAGCCUUCGGUUCAUUGAAGGAGAUUGGUGACAUUGUGGCGAAUUUUGAUUUCAGCAAGGUAAAGUUGAACCUGUCUUGCCCAAAGCAGUGCUUAACUCCUUGUGGAAUGCUCCAGAUUGAUGUGCGUUCCAAGACUGCUGAGGAUUACCUCCACACCAACCUGACACCAUCGUUUGGGGGAUUGAAUGCAGAAACAGUGAAGAAGAUGGAUGAGGUUCUCAAAGUUUGCAUCGCGGGAACCACAGACCUUCUAGCCAAAGUGCCACCGAAAGAGCGAACUUGGGAGAAGGUCAACUCCAUGUUCAUGCAAAAUCCCCUGGUUGAGCCAAUGGGCGAUGGGAUUAGCAGAGCUGACAAGUUUCUCAACAAAAGCUCUAACGAUUUCAAGUUUGACAGGUCACCGGAUGCAGUUAUUGUGAGAGCGGUAAUAGAAGUUAUGUAUUAUAGAAGAGCUCUAUUAACCGUUGCGGCCUUCUCUCAUCACAGGUUCAGACCUGGUUUGUGAAUCUCAUUGCAGAUGAGGACGUCCUGAAAUCAACCAAGAUCGACAUUGAAGUUCUUGGGCGCAUUGUUGCUCAGUCAGGGGCGGCCAUUAACAGCUUUAAAACUUUCUUUGCCAACGAUGAGCACCACGAGAAGACCAUAAUUGACAUCAGGGUCUUAAUGUACCCUGAUAUCCAAAACCCGUACUUCAAGGUUUGUAUUUCUUCAGCCGUUCCCAGCCCUUCGUAUUUCAGUCACAGCUCAUGUUUUUGAGUACAGGUGUACCGCAUCAAACUCUUUGCUUGGUCUGAUAGCUACCGUAUUCUGUACCAUCAGGAGGAUUCCAAUGGCAUCACUGGAGGUGAGGUGUCUAAUGUGAACCACUGAAAACUGCACGCUCCUUUUGUUCUAUUUGCAGAGUUCACCUUCCGUAAGUUUAAGCCGCGCAAGGAGGUCAUUGAGAACAUGAACCCAGAUGCCAAAAAGAAGGCUGUGGAAGCUGCAGAUAACAUCUUUCGUUUCUAAUAUCCAGGCUGUGUCAAUCGAGCCAAGAUGCCCUUUGCUUCAAGCUAAAACAUCUUCCUAGAUAAUAAUGAUCUAUUGUGUUUACAUGUUUUAAUCUCAAUUUCUGAAAAGAGACAAUCAGCCUGGAACGACAAACUACAAUAAAGUAAUAAAUAUCUAAAAGCUAGAUGCUUUGGAUUCCAAGUACUUUUGUCAAUGUAGCAAUGUUUUGCCUUCCACUGGAACAUUGAAAGGUGAUGAUAAGUUUAUCUAUCUAUCUAUAUACUGUUUAUAGUCUUGUGGUGCCCAUCAAGUAUUCUUUGUGAUAUAUUAAUAAAACGAAACAGGACAGUUUGCCAUGUGUAGAUCAUUGUCUCGUUGGUCUCUGUAGGUUCUUCGCGCUCAAGGUUACCACAAGUUAGCCAGGGACACGCUCAAUCAGCUCUAAGCCUCUGGUGCUGGAUUUUCCGAUCCUGUCGCUUUGAUGCAAACGACCCCGGGAACACUGUCGCAAUAAUAUUGUAGAGCAACAAGGUCUCUCAGACAAGGGAAUAUCUAAAUGGAUUUUGACAAGGAACAGAACUUCGAAAAUAGAACUUUAGAGAAUGCUACUUGGAACAAGGCAAAGGGAGGCCCUCAAAACCGUCGAGCUUUUCCUCCUCUAACUCACGAACUUUGUCACGAGCACAUUGUAAGUUUUCUUUUGCAAAUGCUUACGUACUGAUCAGUAGGCGUGAUAUCUCCUGCUAUAGGGUCGAGUUUUUAGGAUCCUAGAAAUCUACUCCGGGACAAGACGAUCAAGACGUUAAUACAAUUGUAAUGUUUUUAAAUUAAUAAGCUAAAUGCGCGAAUCUUUCCAAAACAGCAACGUCACUUUGGUCUUUUCUUAGUUUCUUGUCCAGCUGAGAACAGAGGUUUGUCUAGCUCAAGCAUGAGUUUCUAAAUGAAUACGUCCUGCGUUCUGACAUGGUUGAAUUAUCCUUGCUCAUAUUUACGACCAGUCUAAAGCUUAAACAUUACAUAAUCAACGGCUACUUUGAUUUUCUUCCUCUCGCAUACUCGGUGCUCGCUCCCUCCUCGCCUGCCAAAUACCUCCCUGAUAUGGAAGUCCUGGUGUUGCUAUAGGUUUUAAGCCUGACUUUUCUAAGGUUUGAUGUGGUUGCAGCAAAGUUUUUAGUUUCUCAGAUUUUAUUACAUGCAGGCGAGGGAAAAAUGGCGAAGUCAGGUUUCCAAACUUGAAAAUAGUGUGUUUUGGGCGGAAUGCAACCACUGUGGGACGCUUCUUGGUCUUAAGAAGCUAAUACAGGUGCUAUUGGGAAACGUUGAUGUUCUACAGCUCUCUACGAUUCACUGGAUGGAGCUGCUGGUGGCGCAUUUCCUACAUCUGAUACCUUUUUCUUUGGCAUGUAUGAACUGUGUAGUGUGCUAAGUUCACUUGCAAUUAUCGGGUGCAGGUCUUAGAUGGAAUGCGUAGCAUAGCUUCCAAGUGCAAAGGAUUGAAAAGUUCUGGGGACGAAGACCUUCAAGAACUUUUAUCUGCAAUUAUCAGCAACGACACCGAGGUAAAUGCUCUUCCCCGUCACAGUGGUAAGAACUUCUCAUGUCGAAUAUUUAUAUAAAUUUUCUAUCAGGAUGAUGGCGCAUGUUGAUGAUCUCCUGAUAGCAAGAGGGGAGGACGUUCGAUCUCUUCUUGAAGAAGACCUUGACAGAACUCCAUCGUUUUGUUUAUUCUCAAAUACUGUCUUUGCACAGCUUAACCUGGCAGGUAUGUCUUUGAUUUCUUUCUUCUUGAUGUCUAAACUGGCUAGAGAACGACAUCCUAAGCACCGCAGAGCCUGGCGCUGUGGAUCGCCUGAGAUUGGCACUGGCAUCCAACUUGGGCCGUGCCAUCUUGCAAAGCUGAUCGUUUCUUCGUUGUCAAACAAAGGUAGGAUUUCUUCUUGAACUGUACAAUUAAGCAAAUAGUUUGACCGUAGAACUUCGCUAAAAGUCAAUAUUUAGUCAACAUAGUCUUCUGUCAUUGAAAAUGUUAGCUUUUCAUUGUUUUUCAUACUUGCACUCAGCAAUUAAUCUAUACACAUGUACGGCUAUGUUGAUUUGUUAGUCACCCUCAGAACCAAGCACUACACCAGCAUCGUCCCUUCGUACUCUCCCUAGUCUUAGGCACCCGAAGCAUCUCACGCCUGCCUUGGAUGGAUACAAGUCAGGCUCCCAAUCUCGGACAAGCCCAAUCAAGCUUUUGCUACUCUUGCAAAAGGUGCAUGAAACGAGUGUCUGAUUUCACCCUGUUGACGUUCACGGCCCAUUUCAUUUCACCACUCUCUGAGACGAUGCUGUGAAACUUGACUUAGUGGACCUGUGGUUUUCCACAAGCGCUGGUUCCUUUCCAGCGACCGGCUGGGGCAAAGCCGUCUACGCAUUUGGCGAGGAGAGGAAGAAUCCCAACAAGUUAAGUGCUGCAGUUUAUCAUGCCCUAAAAGCAUAAUAUGAUUUUUGGCGUUGGGUCAAGCUAGACUACUGCACCGAAGGAGGCUUGGCGUUUUGCACCAAACGCGUUUGGUGUAGAUGCGUUUCCUGCACCGAACUAGUUUUCUGCACUAAACUAAUCUUUCAGAACGCUCAUCCAAAUCACCUUUUGUUUUUUAACCGGGUAUACCUGCAUUUUUUUGGAGGUAUAUGUAUGACAAAGUCAUGCAGCACGUGCUGCGAUGAGUCACUUCAUUUUGGGAUAAACAUGUUUUGUACACUAAACUAACUCAUUUACCCCAUUAUAAAAAGUGAGUGUACAUACCUCUUCUGGUGUACAUACUUCUUCUGAAGGUGAAUUGCAAUGGCAACCAUGGCGACAAUGCAGGGAGCCUUCGGUUCAUUGAAGGAGAUUGGUGACAUUGUGGCGAAUUUUGAUUUCAGCAAGGUAAAGUUGAACCUGUCUUGCCCAAAGCAGUGCUUAACUCCUUGUGGAAUGCUCCAGAUUGAUGUGCGUUCCAAGACUGCUGAGGAUUACCUCCACACCAACCUGGCACCAUCGUUUGGGGGAUUGAAUGCAGAAACAGUGAAGAAGAUGGAUGAGGUUCUCAAAGUUUGCAUCUCGGGAACCACAGACCUUAUAGCCAAAGUGGCACCGAAAGAGCGAACUUGGGAGAAGGUCAACUCCAUGUUCAUGCAAAAUCCCCUGGUUGAGCCAAUGGGCGAUGGGAUUAGCAGAGCUGACAAGUUUCUCAACAAAAGCUCUAGCGAUUUCA